AUUGAACGCUGGCGGCAGGCUUAACACAUGCAAGUCGAGCGGGGUGAUGGUGCUUGCACUAUCACUUAGCGGCGGACGGGUGAGUAAUGCGUAUCCAACCUGCCCCCAACUAGGGAAUAACCUUGCGAAAGUAAGACUAAUACCCUAUAAUUUCCUCAGAUGACAUCUGACGAGGAAUAAAGAUUUAUCGGUUGUGGAUGGGGAUGCGUCUGAUUAGCUUGUUGGCGGGGUAACGGCCCACCAAGGCAACGAUCAGUAGGGGUUCUGAGAGGAAGGUCCCCCACAUUGGAACUGAGACACGGUCCAAACUCCUACGGGAGGCAGCAGUGAGGAAUAUUGGUCAAUGGGCGGAAGCCUGAACCAGCCAAGUAGCGUGCAGGAUGACGGCCCUAUGGGUUGUAAACUGCUUUUAUACAGGAAUAAAGUUAGCCACGUGUGGUUAUUUGUAGGUACUGUAUGAAUAAGGACCGGCUAAUUCCGUGCCAGCAGCCGCGGUAA
RNAcentral lists this ribosomal RNA (498 nucleotides) under uncultured bacterium. Its description in RNAcentral is "partial 16S ribosomal RNA". It matches the Rfam family "Bacterial small subunit ribosomal RNA", at positions 30 to 523 of the family's 1533-position model. The record is from RNAcentral.